CAAAAGAAGUAGGUAGUUUAACCUUAGGGGGGACGCUUACCACUUUGUGGUUCAUGACUGGGGUGAAGUCGUAACAAGGUAGCGCUAGGGGAACCUGGCGCUGGAUCACCUCCUUAAACGAUGAU
RNAcentral lists this ribosomal RNA (125 nucleotides) under Vibrio parahaemolyticus. RNAcentral's name for it is "partial 16S ribosomal RNA". It matches the Rfam family "Bacterial small subunit ribosomal RNA", at positions 1418 to 1533 of the family's 1533-position model. Lineage: Bacteria; Pseudomonadati; Pseudomonadota; Gammaproteobacteria; Vibrionales; Vibrionaceae. The record is from RNAcentral.